This 164-nucleotide ribosomal RNA is filed under the name Linzia gerberiformis. RNAcentral's name for it is "5.8S ribosomal RNA". It matches the Rfam family "5.8S ribosomal RNA". From Rfam's summary of the family: 5.8S ribosomal RNA (5.8S rRNA) is a component of the large subunit of the eukaryotic ribosome. It is transcribed by RNA polymerase I as part of the 45S precursor that also contains 18S and 28S rRNA. The record is from RNAcentral. RNAcentral also lists the same sequence under 1 other name. Lineage: Eukaryota; Viridiplantae; Streptophyta; Magnoliopsida; Asterales; Asteraceae.
UAAAUGACUCUCGGCAACGGAUAUCUCGGCUCACGCAUCGAUGAAGAACGUAGCAAAAUGCGAUACUUGGUGUGAAUUGCAGAAUCCCGUGAACCAUCGAGUUUUUGAACGCAAGUUGCGCCCGAAGCCAUUCGGCCGAGGGCACGUCUGCCUGGGCGUCACAC